This 3699-nucleotide ribosomal RNA is filed under the name Triticum aestivum (bread wheat). Its description in RNAcentral is "partial small subunit ribosomal RNA". The record is from RNAcentral. Lineage: Eukaryota; Viridiplantae; Streptophyta; Magnoliopsida; Poales; Poaceae.
AUGGCGCGGCGGCGCCGCCGUCGCGCGUUCGGCGGCCGCCCGGAGCUCCGCCUGGCCUACGGCUCCCGCGCCCGCCCGCUCGGCCGCGCGAUCCUCGCGCUGCUGCCCCCGCCCCCGCCCCCCGGCGCCCCCUGCCCCGUCUGCCGCGGCGCGGCCUCCGGGUGCCUCGCGUGCCGCCGCUGGGCGCACCUCCUCCGCGACGGCGACCCCGUCGCGUACCGCCGCCUCGUCACCCGCGCCGUCUGCGCCGUCGAGCCCGUGCCGGCCGCGCCCCUGCCGCCGCAGUAUACCCCAGGGAACGCCGGGCACUCGCAGGCACAGCUCGUUCGGGAGACGAUAAAGUGGAUCUUGACGGAUCGGUCCUGUAGAACCAAGAACGUCCUCUGCAAUGGUAUCCAUCAGGGUGGCCAGGCUAACCUUGUUUCUUCUUCAUCCUGGAAUAUUCUCCUGGAUAGAAUUGGGGAUCUUCUCAUGUGCUAUAUUCUGAGGCAUUCAUCAGUCUUUUUGCCCAUUAAAAAGAGUGAUUACUUUCAGGUGACUGGUGUUCCACUCAACAUUGUUCUGCACAAGCCUAUAUUUGCCAGUACCAUGGCAAGGAAACAACAAUCCAGAUCGAUAGAAGUCAAAUGCCCUACGUGCCACGUGUUGCGUAAUGCAAAGAUGAAACUAAACAUAACCGGAGGCAAUCGUGGCAACAGUUCAGACUCUGCAUUUUACUGUUCAGAUAACACUCAGAAAUGUGAUGCUCUACAAAGUUCUGGAAGUUGUGAUGCUGAAAGAGUUAUAAAGCCUAAUUGUUCAAGUGAUGGAUGUAACUGUUCCAAUUGCUUUACCCGGAAGCCUAGGAAAAGAAAAAGAUUGUACAGCUGGCAGCGCCGCAGUAAGCGGAAGCAGAUCUGUAAUGAAGAUAAGUUAACAGAGUUAAGUAAAUUAAACAACAGUAAUUAUGCUGUGUGUAAUCUCUUAUCAGAUGGCGCAGCUGCUGGAGUGAAUGGUCAAACACACUCCUUGAAGCGUACUGCAGAUAACAUUUCUAUUGGAAUGAACAAUGAUGAAUUUGUUUCACAAAUUGAAGAGCCAUGUGAUGUACCCGUCCUGUCAUUAAAGAAGUCACCUAGUUCUGUGUCAGAUACUAGUCCUUCCCAGGAUCUAUUUUGUGGUUACUGUAAAUCAGGAGUCCAAUGUACAAGUCCCAAAGUAGGACCCUCCAGCUACUCACAACUGAACAGUGGUUCCAUCUGCUUCAAUUGCUUAAUGUUGAAUGCUUCGAAAUGUGUGUCAGUAGAUUCUUUGAUACCAAGACAGGCCAUUUUCUAUAACAAAGGAUUAUCUGAGAAUGUCUUCCAUCGUAGCAACUUGACAAAUAAAAGGAAAGGACCAGACGCACUGUCUUUAUUGAAGCGCAUAUUUGGAAUCAAGGAAUGCUGCAUAAAGUUCGUCCAAUGUGAUUGCCAUGGAUCUUCCACACCAAAUUCUAAUUGCCUGUAUCAUUGGAUGCUUCAACUAGUGAAAAAUCUCAUAAGGAAUUCUAAACAUUGCCAGUACAAGAAACUAUUUCUGAAGCAUUGUUCUGUCAAGUCUAAGGUGGCAAAAGAUGGGUUCCCUUCAGGCAACAUAAAAUAUUCAAGAGGAGGAAAAUCAGCAUAUUGUGGUGAAUCUUUUGCUCAGUUGGAAGCUUACAGUACACAUCAGCAAGUACUAUCCUUUGUCUGGGCAGUGUUGACACGUAUCAUACCACAGCCUUUGUUAGGGAAUCCUUCUAGUAAGAGAUCAUUAAGGAUGAACAUUUGGAAGUUUAUAAGGUUACGUAGGUUUGAAACAUUUCAAGUAACUGAUUGUAUUGGUGACUUGAAAGCACCAGAAUAUUCUUGGCUAUCAAAAAUUGGAUUCACUAGUUGCAUUUGUUCUGUACUACUUGGAGAAGAGACUGGGCUGUCAAAUGGCACAGAGGAGCAGAAACAGAACAAUCUCUUGCAUUGUUGGAUUAGCUGGUUAUUUUCUGACAUUGUGAUCCCAUUGAUCAAUACAUACUUUUAUGUUACAGAAAGAGAAACAAAACGAUAUGAUGUUUUCUAUUAUCCAAAGUCAGUGUGGAGGAACCUAACUAGCAAUACUAUUGCUACCUUAAAGGCGCAGAGCUUCAAGAUUUUGUGUGGUACAUCGAGGAGAGCAAUAAAACAUUUGUACCGUUCUUCAAGAGUGAGAUUUCUUCCAAAAGCAAAGGAUAUCAGACCAUUAGUAAAUUUUAAAGCUCAGUCAAAGGAUGGUAUUCUCAACAAGUGUCAUUUAGUUAUUAAAAAAUUAAGGGCUGAUAACCCAGAGAUGUUUGGUUCUUCUGUUUUUGAUUAUGAUGAUGUUUACAAAAACCUUUCCAGUUUUAUGUCUUCAGUAAGAAGACAGUUGACAGAGUCAAAGAUAUAUAUUGUGGUUGCUGAUGUAUCCAAGGCAUUUGAUUGUGUUAAUCAUGACGUGCUACUGAAAAUUAUGGAUGAUGUUCUGAAAGGUGAUGAGUAUGCCUUGAGAAAAUGUACCAAAGUAAUUUACAGUAGGUCUAAGAAUGUGGCUUACCGCUUUGAUUCAAAUGUCUCCGUCAGCAAUGGAAACAGAAUUAAUGAUUUCUCAAUUCAGCCAUCAUCAGGUGGUGGCAUUCUAGUUGAUCAGGGAACUGUUAGUACAAUCCGGAAGGAAGAGCUUCAACGUGUCCUUUUCGAACAAGUCAAGUGCAAUAUUCUGAAGAUUGGGCCAAACUUUUACUUGCAGCAAGUAGGGAUUGCUCAAGGAAACAAGUUAUCUCCCAACCUUUGUUCCCUAUACUAUGGCCACCUUGAGAAUUCUGUGAUAUUGAAUUUUCUGCGUGAUGGAAAUUCAGGAGAUGCUAUUUCAGAACCGGAAUUUUUAAUGAUGAGGUUCAUUGAUGACUUCAUGUUUAUCUCUCUCUCAAAGAAGCAUGCUUUGAAUUUCUUUAAUAGGAUGAGAAGAGGUUUUGUGUACUACAAUACUUACAUGAAUGACAGCAAAUAUGGUUAUAAUUUCAACAUUGGAGAUAACGAGCAGUGCGAUAAUAGGAUCUACAGGGGCGAUGAUGGAGUCACUUUCAUACCAUGGAGUGGUUUGCUUAUAAACUGUGAAAAUUUAGAAAUUCAAGCUGAUUAUACAAGGUAUUUAGGCAUUACAAUCAUCUCCACGAUCACUGUGAAGAUGCAUUCUUCCAUGAAGUACCUUAGCAGCAAGCUAUGUCAUUAUAUGCGUCCGAAGUGCCAUCCCAUUUUUUACGACUCCAAUAUCAACUCACUGGGCACUGUAAGACUGAAUAUGUAUCAAGCCUUCCUGUUAUGCGCAAUGAAGUUCCAUUGCUAUAUGCGGAGCAUGCCUUAUUCCAGCAUAAGCAAACCCGAGUUGCUGCAUGUCAUUAAGAAGACCUUCAGAUACAUGCAUAGUCUGAUUGUCAGCCGUAUGCAAGAUAUGGAGCUGCAAUCCAAUGUGCGCCCAGUUCUAAAGCUAAGACGCAAAGAAACCAAUUGGCUUGGACUAUCUGCCUACAUCCGCGUGCUUCAAAAGAAACAAUCUCGUUACAAGGAUUUGUUGGCGUUGUUGAUAGCAGAGGCUGAGGGUUAUGGUCAUAUGGACUGUGAUUCUGACAGUUUGUGCUAUGCUGUGGAUGAUUCUCACUCGUCAAUGUUCUGGAAGUUCAAAUAUUAG